GAUGAAGAACGUAGCAGAAUGCGAUAAGUAAUGUGAAUUGCAGAAUUCAGUGAAUCAUCGAAUCUUUGAACGCACAUUGCGCCCGCUGGUAUUCCGGCGGGCAUGCCUGUUCGAGCGUCAUUUCAACCAUCAAGCCCCCGGGUUUGGUGUUGGGGAUCGGCUCUGCCCUUCUGGGCGGUGCCGCCCCGGAAAUACAUUGGCGGUCUCGCUGCAGCCUCCAUUGCGUAGUAGCUAACACCUCGCAACUGGAACGCGGCGCGGCCAUGCCGUAAAACCCCAACUUCUGAAUGUUGACCUCGGAUCAGGUAGGAAUACCCGCUGAACUUAAGCAUAUCAAUAAGCGGAGGA
RNAcentral lists this unclassified non-coding RNA (348 nucleotides) under soil metagenome. Its description in RNAcentral is "partial contains 5.8S ribosomal RNA, internal transcribed spacer 2, and large subunit ribosomal RNA". The stretch from base 1 to 120 matches the Rfam family "5.8S ribosomal RNA", at positions 35 to 154 of the family's 154-position model. The record is from RNAcentral.